RNAcentral lists this ribosomal RNA (375 nucleotides) under Triticum aestivum (bread wheat). RNAcentral describes it as "partial small subunit ribosomal RNA". Lineage: Eukaryota; Viridiplantae; Streptophyta; Magnoliopsida; Poales; Poaceae. The record is from RNAcentral.
AUGUAUAUCUUGAACGGUGCCGAUAAGUCCACCAAAUCUGACGGUGAUGCGAGACCACAACAAAGCGUAGCGCCAUCCCGAAAUUUACAUCCUCUCUCAAUCAAUCAAUCAACGAAGACGACGCGCCACCUCGAAAGAAACAAAAUUUCACAAUUUUUGGCUCCCACCCGCGCCAUCGAUCUGGAAAUUAGCCCCCUCGCUUGGCCAAAAUUUCCAGAGUUCAAAAUUGAAAAUGAAAAGGAAAAAAAGAGAAGCACACCGCACCCAACCCCUCUCAUCUCUUCCUCUCCCGACCGCCGCCGCUCUUCUUUCUCUCCCUCUCCCUCUCGCACCCAACGCCUCUUCCUCUUCCUCUCCCUCUCCCUCUCCCGGUGA